Molecule: ribosomal RNA, 497 nt
Filed under: uncultured bacterium
Lineage: Bacteria
Description: partial 16S ribosomal RNA
Rfam family: Bacterial small subunit ribosomal RNA
Source: RNAcentral
GAUGAACGCUGGCGGCGUGCCUAAUACAUGCAAGUCGAGCGAACGGACGAGAAGCUUUCUUCUCUGAUGUUAGCGGCGGACGGGUGAGUAACACGUGGAUAACCUACCUAUAAGACUGGGAUAACUUCGGGAAACCGGAGCUAAUACCCGAUAAUAUUUUGAACCGCAUGGUUCAAAAGUUAAAGACGGUCUUGCUGUCGCUUAUAGAUGGAUCCGCGCUGGAUUAGCUAGUUGGUAAGGUAACGGCUUAGCAAGGCAACGAUGCAUAGCCGACCUGAGAGGGUGAUCGGCCACACUGGAACUGAGAAACGGUACAGACUCCUACGGGAGGCAGCAGUAGGGAAUCUUCCGCAAUGGGCGAAAGCCUGAUGGAGCAACGCCGCGUGAGGGAUGAAGGUCUUCGGAUCGUAAAGCUCUGUUAUUAGGGAAGAACAUAUGCGUAAGUAACUGUGCACAUCUUGACGGUACCUAAUCAGAAAGCCACGGCUAACUACGUG